Molecule: ribosomal RNA, 2016 nt
Filed under: Campylobacter jejuni
Lineage: Bacteria; Pseudomonadati; Campylobacterota; Epsilonproteobacteria; Campylobacterales; Campylobacteraceae
Description: partial 23S ribosomal RNA
Rfam family: Bacterial large subunit ribosomal RNA
Source: RNAcentral
GGGCAUACACCAAUGUACCAAACCCUAUCAAACUCCGAAUACCUUAUAUGUAAUCACAGCAGUCAGGCGGCGAGUGAUAAAAUCCGUCGUCAAGAGGGAAACAACCCAGACUACCAGCUAAGGUCCCUAAGUCUUACUUAAGUGGAAAACGAUGUGAAGUUACUUAAACAACCAGGAGGUUGGCUUAGAAGCAGCCAUCCUUUAAAGAAAGCGUAAUAGCUCACUGGUCUAGUGAUUUUGCGCGGAAAAUAUAACGGGGCUAAAGUAAGUACCGAAGCUGUAGACUUAGUUUACUAAGUGGUAGGAGAGCGUUCUAUUUGCGUCGAAGGUAUACCGGUAAGGAGUGCUGGAGCGAAUAGAAGUGAGCAUGCAGGCAUGAGUAGCGAUAAUUAAUGUGAGAAUCAUUAACGCCGUAAACCCAAGGUUUCCUACGCGAUGCUCGUCAUCGUAGGGUUAGUCGGGUCCUAAGUCGAGUCCGAAAGGGGUAGACGAUGGCAAAUUGGUUAAUAUUCCAAUACCAACAUUAGUGUGCGAUGGAAGGACGCUUAGGGCUAAGGGGGCUAGCGGAUGGAAGUGCUAGUCUAAGGUCGUAGGAGGUUAUACAGGCAAAUCCGUAUAACAAUACUCCGAGAACUGAAAGGCUUUUUGAAGUCUUCGGAUGGAUAGAAGAACCCCUGAUGCCGUCGAGCCAAGAAAAGUUUCUAAGUUUAGCUAAUGUUGCCCGUACCGUAAACCGACACAGGUGGGUGGGAUGAGUAUUCUAAGGCGCGUGGAAGAACUCUCUUUAAGGAACUCUGCAAAAUAGCACCGUAUCUUCGGUAUAAGGUGUGGUUAGCUUUGUAUUAGGAUUUACUCCGAAAGCAAGGAAACUUACAACAAAGAGUCCCUCCCGACUGUUUACCAAAAACACAGCACUCUGCUAACUCGUAAGAGGAUGUAUAGGGUGUGACGCCUGCCCGGUGCUCGAAGGUUAAUUGAUGGGGUUAGCAUUAGCGAAGCUCUUGAUCGAAGCCCGAGUAAACGGCGGCCGUAACUAUAACGGUCCUAAGGUAGCGAAAUUCCUUGUCGGUUAAAUACCGACCUGCAUGAAUGGCGUAACGAGAUGGGAGCUGUCUCAAAGAGGGAUCCAGUGAAAUUGUAGUGGAGGUGAAAAUUCCUCCUACCCGCGGCAAGACGGAAAGACCCCGUGGACCUUUACUACAGCUUGACACUGCUACUUGGAUAAGAAUGUGCAGGAUAGGUGGGAGGCUUUGAGUAUAUGACGCCAGUUGUAUAUGAGCCAUUGUUGAGAUACCACUCUUUCUUAUUUGGGUAGCUAACCAGCUUGAGUUAUCCUCAAGUGGGACAAUGUCUGGUGGGUAGUUUGACUGGGGCGGUCGCCUCCCAAAUAAUAACGGAGGCUUACAAAGGUUGGCUCAGAACGGUUGGAAAUCGUUCGUAGAGUAUAAAGGUAUAAGCCAGCUUAACUGCAAGACAUACAAGUCAAGCAGAGACGAAAGUCGGUCUUAGUGAUCCGGUGGUUCUGUGUGGAAGGGCCAUCGCUCAAAGGAUAAAAGGUACCCCGGGGAUAACAGGCUGAUCUCCCCCAAGAGCUCACAUCGACGGGGAGGUUUGGCACCUCGAUGUCGGCUCAUCGCAUCCUGGGGCUGGAGCAGGUCCCAAGGGUAUGGCUGUUCGCCAUUUAAAGCGGUACGCGAGCUGGGUUCAGAACGUCGUGAGACAGUUCGGUCCCUAUCUGCCGUGGGCGUAAGAAGAUUGAAGAGAUUUGACCCUAGUACGAGAGGACCGGGUUGAACAAACCACUGGUGUAGCUGUUGUUCUGCCAAGAGCAUCGCAGCGUAGCUAAGUUUGGAAAGGAUAAACGCUGAAAGCAUCUAAGCGUGAAGCCAACUCUAAGAUGAAUCUUCUCUAAGCUCUCUAGAAGACUACUAGUUUGAUAGGCUGGGUGUGUAAUGGAUGAAAGUCCUUUAGCUGACCAGUACUAAUAGAGCGUUUGGCUUAUCUUUAAUAAAGCAU